RNAcentral lists this ribosomal RNA (119 nucleotides) under Pteropus alecto (black flying fox). The record is from RNAcentral. Lineage: Eukaryota; Metazoa; Chordata; Mammalia; Chiroptera; Pteropodidae.
GUCUAUGGCCAUGCCACCUUGAACACACCCGAUCUUGUCUGAUCUCAGAAGCUAAACAGGGUUGCGCCUGGUUAGUACUUGGAUGGGAGACCACCUAGGAAGAUCCAGUGCUGUAUGCU